Molecule: long non-coding RNA, 455 nt
Organism: Frankliniella occidentalis (western flower thrips)
Lineage: Eukaryota; Metazoa; Arthropoda; Insecta; Thysanoptera; Thripidae
Exons: 3
Source: RefSeq, a predicted model, not a curated record
UCGGUGACAAAUUUCAUUUAAUUCUGUAUUUUAUAUUUGAGAAUCUAGAAAACGUCGUGCGGGAAUGUUAAUCUGGCUGGUGAAGAGAACUUUGCGUAUCAGAUUUAAGUUAACAAAAAGAUUGUUUGAAUGCGGAACACUCUCUGGAGGUUAUGAGAGCCGAAGCGUCAUCUCCAACCUGUGCCAGCCGACGUGUGUUACAUCUCAACUAGUUUCAACUCGAAACUGCUAAUAUCAACCUGCGGUCAGAAGGACAUCUUUGCGCACCACUAUAACGUGAUGGAGCCACGUAGCCGAGUACGCGGCGGACUGCGGACUCGCUUCCCUUUUCUGAUCGGAUGCGGAGGCGCCGAGGUGCCCGCCGAGGAGAUCGUUGGCGAACGACAGUGCAUGUGACCGGGCCGCGGAGACGCGUCGCAGCGUGGUGAGUCGUGGGGGCGAAUAUUUCACUGUGG